RNAcentral lists this transfer RNA (65 nucleotides) under Glyptotermes sp. C TB-2014. RNAcentral's name for it is "tRNA-Arg". The record is from RNAcentral. Lineage: Eukaryota; Metazoa; Arthropoda; Insecta; Blattodea; Kalotermitidae.
AAGUAAGAAGCGGAGGCUGCAAUUAGUUUCGACCUAAUAAUUGGUAUAUUACUUACCCUUACUUA